Long non-coding RNA from Catharus ustulatus (Swainson's thrush), 3612 nucleotides. RefSeq lists it as uncharacterized. NCBI's taxonomy places the organism in Eukaryota, Metazoa, Chordata, Aves, Passeriformes, Turdidae. The record is from RefSeq and is a predicted model, not a curated record. The transcript is spliced from 3 exons.
GCUCUGCCUCCCUGGGAAGUGCUUGUAGGCUACAUUUUAGCUGUAAGUGCUUUAUAAUGCAAGCUGACUGUAGCUGAAAUUGGUGUCCCUUAGCUGCUUGAUUAGUUAGAUAAAUUCGGCAGGCUUGUGUCUGGGAUCCAUGGUAAUGGAGUUACGUUGCUAUGCUAUGAAAUGUGCAGGAAGGUCCAGCACUUCAGGAAGGAUAUGAUUUCCAGGGCUAAUGAAACUUGGUAGUGCAGGCAAGAAGGAAUGUUUGGAAGAAUGAACAAAAGCAAUCCCUGGAACAGUGACAGGAUUGCUCAAGUCAGUGGGAACAGGCAAAGGCAUCAAUGCCCCAGGAAGGUUUCCCUGGGAGGGCUGCAACAACCACCUCAAAGAUCAUUUAAAAGUGGCGUCCUGGAGGAAAAGUAUCACAGUUCUUCUCCUGUCAUCCCAAGGAAAGCCUACAUGGCAACAUUUUUACAGCGAACUUUUUUUUCACUCUGGCAAAACAAGCAAAAGUCUCCUCAAACCUGUUGGUUUAGCGAAUGCAGAAGACUCCUCCUGUGUUCAUGACCUGGGGGACUGCAUGCAAAUGUAAAGUAAAUAUGCACCUUCAAUGCUACCAGAUGGACAACACCUAUUCUCUGAAGAUGAGAAAACAAAUAUUCUUAGGCAUACAUAUACAUUCAUGCUUCCUCAUGGAUGUUCAAGAAAUACAAACCUGUAUGGAAGCAGGUGGAAUGUUUUUGCAUCAUGAAGACAGCAGGAGGAGAGUAUUCCUCCAGCCAGAAGCUUGCUGAAAUAAUUCAUCUUGACUCAGGAGAAAAGGUAGAACUGGCUCAUUUGGACUGUGCAUGGGGUGUCACUUUGCCCACAAUAUUAAAGAAAAAGAAAGAUGCAUCUGUUUUCAGUGGCAGUCUCACUCUCUCUCCCUGCUCAGCUGUGUCAGCUCUGCCAGUAAUGAGCAUAAGCACUAAUAUCACUGGGGUUUGUUCCUUUGCAGCCAGUCUCCCACACAGAUUUAUAAGUGCGACUCUGAUGGCAGCACCAGCCAUUAUGACUCUCACAUCAAGAGGUUGAUGCACACUUAAGGCUUCAGCUGAUUACCUGUCUUUGAAAUAAUCUUUCUCAAUAUUAGUCAAAUUGGCCUGCUCCCAGCAGCAAAGUACCCAUGCCUACCUACCACAGACAACACACACCCAGCCGUGAUCCUGCCCUAUAGAAAAUCUAAUACGGAUCUAAUAUAAGAUGCAUAGGAAAAGGACUGAAUGCUCCAAAUGGCCUCAAAGAUAAAAGCAAAAAGCAUAUAGAAAAGUACAGUAAAUUAGUUUCCUUGCACAAAUCUCAUUGGAACAGCGUAUAGGUUUUGUCUAUGUGAUUCUUCUAUCAGUGAUAAUUACCAGUGGUGAGGGAACUAGGGGUAGAGUAGGGCCAGCUGCUUCGGUCUCACCUUCCUCUUGCAUUGGCAAGACAGAUACAGCAUGCCUACAGCUUGCAUUUUCAAAGUUGAUUCAGAAUCCAUGCUGGUUUAUAACUGAUUCUACCACCAUGACAUGAAUGAACAUAGAUUUUUCUCUGAUCUCUUUUCAUUUACUGGCAACAAAACAUAAAAAUUCCAAAUAGCCUUCCAGGAUUUAUGCAAAGUCUUCAUGGCCCAGGCUGCCAUUCACUAUGACAUUUCGUUGGUAUGGCAAGGACUCCAAAAUGCCUCUUUUCCAGCACUUUGAAGAAGGAACCACUCCAGAAAUUUCCCAUUUUUCCAUGCUCCCCAAGAAGAUGCAUCAUGUUUUACACAUAAAAGUGACGAUGGUUUUAUUAGGAUAGUUAAUGAAACAUACAAAUAGGUAAAAUACGGCAUGUCUGAACAAUGUGCCUAUCUCUGAAAUUUAAAAGGAAGCUAGUAAAAAGCCAUCAUCAUACACUCAGUCAAUGUUACUUCCAAAUGAAAUUAGUAAUCCCAAGGCAUGAUUUGCUAAAGCAGCACUGCAGCCUACACCUUGAAUCCCGCCACCUUAGGGGGACAAUUACUACUCUUCCAGCAGCCAGUCUCAGUGACCUUAGCAGCUGCAGAAGGUACCUUUAGCUUUCCAUGGGGACCUGAAGGGACAGGAGGUGUCCCAAAAUACCUCUGUGGAGAGAAAAUUACUGUGAACCAAGCCUCUGCUAGUCCAAAUAUUUUAUGGUGUAACAGGGACUGGCAUGCAGCUGGAUUCCAGGGUAACUCAGCAAUGCGGCUUCUGUGGCACCUGCUGGUUUUCUCCCUCUGACAUGAGGGAUUCAGAUUAAACAGUAGAACCUGCCCCAGAACAAUCUUGAUGCAGGUCAUGAGACCAACCACCACUUCUAGAGCUCUAACACUUUACUGGAAAGAUACAAGCAGCUCAAGAGCCAAUGAGUGCACGUGAGCUUGGCCACUCUCACCACCAGCAGCACGAUCCAGAGUGAGAAAUAAUCACAGUAAAAGAAGUAACUUCCAAAGUUGCUGUAUUUUUGGUCUGCAUCAACUCCAAAGAUUCCUUCCCAGUUCUCCCAGGGUCCUUAAGAUUGGAGAUUUUUAAUGGCCUUGAAUGGUAAACUGGGCUGAAAGGAAGUGUCCUUGAUUUCACCCUAAAGCCUAAGAAAGGAUGGCAUAGGUCACAGGUACAAUACCAAUGGGAAAGCCAAAAUAAGCUGCUCAGAGGCAUAAGAAUGCAUACCAAUUAGCAAUGGAAAUGUGAUUCUACCCUUCUCUCUUCCUAGAAAUGCUGAUCUCUCAUAAGUUAAAAAAAAAAAAAAAAAAAAAAAAAAAACAGAAGAAAAAAGAAAAAAAUGGAUACUAAAAAAGCCCCAUCAAGCUCUUGCCUAACAUGACAGAAAUCUUGUCUAGAAGACCAAGAUGAAUCAAGCCAGAACACCGACAAUUUUAUCUUGGGAGAAGGAAGGAGCACAGUGGCUUUAAACCUUCUAGAGCAGUAGCUGUGGGAGCACAUCAGCAGGAUCAGGGAGAAAAAAAAUAAAAAAUCAGUCAGAUAGAAAGCAGAGCAUUCUCCUGAACAGAUUGUGCUAAGACAUGGCUCUGGAGCUACUGCUCCAAGGCUGUGAGCAGAAACAGCAGACUCAAUUGCUUGGGAAAAAAAAACCCCAGACCCUAACAAAUCGCCAAAAAACUGAGAACAGAGAUCUUUGUCAUUAAUUGGUUAGGAACACUCCAUAAUUAGAAGAUUUAUAAGAAGUAAAUUUGGAGAGUCUUAGCAUAGAUGAAAAAAAACUUAGUGUUAAUCACUGCCCGUAUGGAAAGAAAAAGGUCACAGCUAAGGCUAGCCAAUAUAUUUUUUUUCCUAAGGAUCGGGUGAAAGGCCAGACCAUGUCUCUGGGAAUUCAUCAUCAAAAUGGUACCGGACCGUCUUCUCCAUCCUAAACCCAGUGGACACGACAGGCGACCCCUGUGCUGCCCGCCAGGAGCCGAAGUUCCCUUGAGGAGCGCUUUCCCCGCUCCCUCGGUACCGGGGCAGGCGCUGGUAUCUGGCUGCACACGGGUCACCCAGAGCCCCAGAGCACUGCCCUGGUCCCGGCCAGAGGAAAGCGCCCGCAGCGGGGGCAGCCGGGGAUCUCCCCGCAGUCUCAAGGAGAGCGGCGGCGCCCGGAGACGGG